GGUGAUGGGUGGGCAGUCGGUUGUAAACGUGUAACUGAAGAUUCCACGUCGAGGUGCCGGCUGUCCACUAAACCACAGUCUCCGUCCAAAGUCGGA
RNAcentral lists this non-coding RNA (96 nucleotides) under unclassified sequences. The record is from RNAcentral.